Molecule: long non-coding RNA, 541 nt
Filed under: Ananas comosus (pineapple)
Lineage: Eukaryota; Viridiplantae; Streptophyta; Magnoliopsida; Poales; Bromeliaceae
Description: long non-coding RNA (ACOM_LNC040207)
Source: RNAcentral
CCACAUUAAUUUGCUUCACAUUAAGUCCAUCAUCGCAGGAAUUCACCCGCUAGGACCGUCCUUCGGGUUUACUCCAACCCGUGAUGCAUAACUCCGGAGUGCAUCGCCCGAGGGGGAGCGACCGCCCUCGAGCACGGAACUCAUAGCAAGUAUGAUCAUAUCCUUAACUCAAAGGAUUUACAAGUUCAAUCUUGACUUUACACUAGCUCUAGUGUUCUUUCAUCACUUUUUGUUGCCACUCUAGCAAUCAUUGUUCUUUACCAUUCAUUACUCUUGCUAACUCUAGCAAUUAUAUUCUUUACAUUCUUCACUUUUGGCUACCUCUAGCACUUCAUGUUCUUUACUCCCCACAUUAUUUUAACUUUACACAUUGUCAUUUUCAUCAUUCUUUACAAUAAAUUGGUUUUUUAGCUCACACUAUCUCUAUUGUCAUUUCACUUUAACUUUAUCGAAUGCCACUCGAACUUUAUCGAAUUUCACUUUAACUUUAUCGAAUGCUCACACUAUUCUUUUGCUCACUUUGGGUGCUCACUUUUCUCUC